CCGCACUGGUCGGGGAGUUAGCGGUGCCCUGUAUCUGCAAUCCGCUACAGCAGAGACGAACCCCGCCCCCGGCUUUGCGAUGUGUUGUCUGACCCUUGUAAGCAGCGAUGACGAGACGGUCUUGCGCAACGGAAACCUGUGAACCAUGUCAGGCGGGGAACCGAGCAGCAUUAAGCAGGAGCUUUCGUGUGCCGCGAGGGCGCCGUUUCCGAGCCGGCUGCAGGGGUAACGGGCAUAUCGCAAUUGUCAAAGGCGGGUGUGCGG
Molecule: signal recognition particle RNA, 264 nt
Filed under: Clostridiales bacterium
Lineage: Bacteria; Bacillati; Bacillota; Clostridia; Eubacteriales
Description: signal recognition particle sRNA large type
Rfam family: Bacterial large signal recognition particle RNA
About the family: The signal recognition particle (SRP) is a universally conserved ribonucleoprotein involved in the co-translational targeting of proteins to membranes. Archaeal SRP consists of a 7S RNA and homologues of the eukaryotic SRP19 and SRP54 proteins.
Source: RNAcentral